GGUGGGGAUGACGUCAAGUCCUCAUGGCCCUUAUGACCAGGGCUACACACGUACUACAAUGGCCGGUACAAAGGGCAGCCACUUAGCGAUAAGGAGCCAAUCCCGUAAAAGCCGGUCUCAGUCCGGAUUGGAGUCUGCAACUCGACUCCAUGAAGUUGGAAUCGCUAGUAAUCGCAGAUCAGCACGCUGCGGUGAAUACGUUCCCGGGCCUU
Molecule: ribosomal RNA, 212 nt
Filed under: uncultured Desulfocapsa sp.
Lineage: Bacteria; Pseudomonadati; Thermodesulfobacteriota; Desulfobulbia; Desulfobulbales; Desulfocapsaceae
Description: partial 16S ribosomal RNA
Rfam family: Bacterial small subunit ribosomal RNA
Source: RNAcentral